CUCUCAGGCUACAGAUACAGGAUCCAGUACAUAAUGCUCAAAGCAUAAACCCAGAUCAAAUCUCGCUGCAGCAGCAGUAUACAAAGGAGUAGAGAAAAAGCAUGCUGACCGUGCAUUGAAGAGAAGGCACUCGAAAGCCCCUGUUUACCCUUGUUUCAGGCACAAGUACAGUUCUUAGUGCAUGAGUGAUGCAAAAAUAACUGGAGGAUUGCAUCAAGCAUUCAUCCACGGCAAUUUAAAUAAAGAUGAGCUGACGUGAUGGAGAUUAACUGCACUGUAAGAAUGCCUGCAGUGCUCAGCAGAAUGAGGGGCAAGGGAGAAAAAGGACAAGGGGGGGAGUUACACUUCUAGCAAAAGGACAUAUCACUUAGUCCAGCAAAUCAGCAUGCCCAAAAUUUCAUAUUACUGACGUAGAUCUGGCUCUGGCAUGUCUGCAUCAUGCUGUGUAGGCAUUAGGUGCUCUGCAUGUUUAACAUGUGUCUGUAGUCCAGGAGGAAAAUUCUUUCAGUAUAUGAAAGGGAGCUACAGGAAGAAGGGGACAGACUCCUUAGCAAGAUCUGUGAAAGCCAGGGAGAAUUCGGUCAGGCUCUGAAGAAUGAGGAGCUUCCACAGCUGCUGCCCUCUAGCCUUUAUGGACAUCAGAGAGACUGCACGGCCCUAGUUGUCUCACAGAAGUCUGUCCCUCCUGCCCUUUAAUCAUCCUUGAUCCUCUCUGAACUUCCUCCUGUAUGGCUGCAUUCUUUAUUGGUAUGCACCCGGAGCUAAAUACAGCGUAAAGAGUGCAGAACAGAGCUGUGUUGUAAUGGGUACUCAUUAAAAAUAAAACCCUCUGUCUUUGGACUUCGGUAACCACUGUGUAGCAGAGUUGAUUUACAAAGUUUAUCUGAAAAAGCAAAAUGCACUAUUAUUCAUUUGCAGAUAAAAGUCUGAAAUCUUCUACCUCUAAUUCCUAGAAAAGAGAGGAACAAAAGUAAACUGCCUUGAGUUGCUGCUUGUACCUCAGUUCCACAGGAUGGCAUCUGCCUCUCAGGACACACACAGACCCCUCGGAGUGCUCUGCAGUAUCUCCUGAUGCCUGGCUUGUCCCGCUCGCUCCUUCUAACAUCGCACUGGUCCUGUGCUGUGCAACUGGCCACUCUGACAGCUUUCAUCAUGCCAGAGUUUAUGGCAACUGUAAAUCUAUUAAGCCACAAUUUGCACUUAAUAAAACGAAACAGCAAGCAGUUAAACGAAAGCUCGAUCCUAAACGGGAGAACAUUUUUCAGGAAAAGUCAUUGAGGCUGCCACUGCUACUGCUGCCUGCCUGCCCGCCUUUGAGAAAUUCAAUCGUGCUGACUGAGGGAACCUGGGGAGAGCUGGCUACUCCUUCCUUUGGUUCAUAAUGGCCCCGUAGACCAUUUAAUCAUCCGCGGAUGACACAAAGGCCACGCUGUGAGCACCGGAUGUGGAGGAAUGCACUUAUCAGAUGCUUCCUGCCCGUGAGUGGGCACGGGUUCAGGCUCAUCCCCAUGUCCCUGUGCUUCAGAGUGUCCCUGCUGUCAGAGCAGAGAGCAGAGCAGAGGGCUGCUGCUGCUCCUCCUGAGUGCUUUUGUUUUCUUACAUCAGGGUGUGCACAAGCGGUGCUUUGGGAGCCGAGCUCAGAGUGUGGAGGGAAGGCCUUGUGCUGCAGGUUUCAGACAGGCCUGGAGGCACCCGCCCUGAGAAGCACUGGGUGCAGUCUUAGCAGGAGGAGAGGGGCACUGGGAGACAAAGCAGAGACUUACUUGCUCUUGUGAAACAGAUUUCUCUGUUGAUGUUAAAAUGACUUCCUCCAUGUCCACGGUUUCACCUCCACUCCAUAUUGUGUCAUUUCUGGGUGACCAAAUGGCUGACCCUGGUUUGUAGGUGAAUAGUCUGGUCAGAAACCGUAUGCCCAGUUUCAUUAACUAGAGAAAAAAAGCCCCAGCCAGGGGAGGCAAUGAGAGCUUGAAAAUUCGAUCCAUCGUACUAAUUGGUUUGGAAUAUUAGCCUUUAGUUUAGAUUGGAAAUCCAUUUCCUCCUGAAUACAGGCAAUUUGUUGACAGCUCGGGCCAUACAUGUAACCAUGUGAAGCUUGACAUGCCAUCCUCAACCCCGAGCCCACGAACGCUGGCAAACACAUUCAAAAUAGCUACAAGAGCUGGUAACUUCUGAGAGGAUGCCUCUGGACACAGAUCUGUGCCCAUUCUUACGAGCAUUCCUCCCGACAAAGUUUUAGGAUUUGCAAUUCAAAAAAGCCACUCGCUGCUGGCUAAUGCCUGCCAAUUAAGUUCAGCCCAUUGAAUCAACAGUUUCCUGUUACCUGUUCCUUCAGGUAGAACAGCGGCUGAUACCCCUGCCCUUUCCCAGGCUUCUGUGCAGGGACCUUUCCUGCCCGAAAACAGUGGGGACACCUGUUUUCUGGGCAGGGAAGGCCAGCACCUGAAAUCCUAGGAAUGGUCCCGCUAUUGAAAGCAGGGGGCUUGAUAAGGCAGCCACUGUGAUAGGCAGCGGAAAUUUGAUGAUGAAAGGAGAUGCCUAAUAGAUUAAUCUGGUGUGAUUUGCCAAAACACAGGGUUUUCUGGAAGAUUAUCCACACUCGCAAUAGGAAGCCCUUUGUUUUGUGAAAGUCCCCACUUAUCAUGGUAUUCUUUAUCUCAACAAGAAACAUAAUGGUUUACUUGUUUACAUGCAUAACAGAUAUAUUCAGAGCUGGGCUUAGGAACUGUGAACUCCUUUUCAUUUGAAACAUUUCCAGCAGGCAGGUUAUUAGCUGAGGGGGAACAAGCAGUUGGACACACAUAAAAUUUAAAUCUGCCUUGCUUAGAUUGGCAAAAAUGAAUGUUAUUUCAUCCACCGGGAAAAUGUUUUACUUCCUGCUCAAAUACUUUUGGAAGAAAAUCACAAGCUCAUUUGUAGCCAUCAUAUAUGUAUGUAUAUAUUUUUUUAGAGUUAAGUGUUAUGUCUACAGAAACGUAUUUGUUACUGUACACCGGUUAUUUUCCACUAAUAUUAAUUAUUUUAUUAGCUUGUCUUUACUUCUUCAAUUUUACUUUGCUUACUAUAAAAUGUGACUGAUGGCUUUACAUUAUUUAUACUGAAUGUGUGGCUGGAAUCUAG
Molecule: long non-coding RNA, 3117 nt
Filed under: Gallus gallus (chicken)
Lineage: Eukaryota; Metazoa; Chordata; Aves; Galliformes; Phasianidae
Description: lncRNA (ENSGALG00010005000.1)
Source: RNAcentral